UUUCUUUGUUUCAAUUGGAAACUUCUCAUCAAAGAGAUCAAAGGAUUUGGGUCACUUCAGGCUGCAGUGUGAAUUUAGCCUAAAAUGUCCUCAGGUGUGAGUGUUAGUGAGUGUAUGCAUGGUUACUCAUUGUGUGUCUUUGUGUUUCCAGCACUGCAGUUAACUGGGCUGGCAAACUUUCUACAGUGUUCUUUACGUUGCCAAGACAUUCUUAUCAAAUAAGUUUUAUCUGCCUGAAAAAAUGAAUAACCAAACAAAAUGAAAAACAAAUUAAGACAGUGUAUUGUUGUUUCUGUUUUGGUCUGACAAGGGUCUAGCUUUACAGCAUUACAGCUGUUUUCAGUUGCACUUGAGCAGCUACAUUUUCUCCUAAAAGUGAGAAAGCAUUAAAUAACAAGUCAAAUUCCACUGGAGUUUUAUCAUGAAGGAAAGCUCCAUAGUUUCUAAAUAAUCAAACUGACAAGUUUUCAGUCAAGCGUUGAUUCCCUCCAACCACAUUAAACACGCCCAAGAACAUAAAACUUAAAUUGUUCUGAAGGCCAUGUUCCUAGCUUCGCCACCAGGUGGCGCGGCCUUUCGUGGGUAGUAUUUCUUUUUCAUACCAAAACAUUGUUUGAGAAGCCGUACAGGACAGCGGACGUGGUGUUUGAAGGUGGUUUUGGGAUUUCGUUCGAGUGUGAGUCCAUAUGAGUGGUAGGUUGCAGUGUAUUUGUUUGAGUGGAAUUAUAUGUGUAUUUUAGUACUUUGAACAUUUUCUGUUGUUAGAUUUUUUAGCUAAUUUCUGUUCUAAAAUGGUAAACCAUAUUAUGUUUAGUUGCUUUCUUUUACUUUAUUUAACUAUAAUAGUAAUGAAACCGACAAAUAAUAUGAUUAUAAUAUGUUUGUAAAUGAGUAUCUGCGUUCAUGGUGGAUUGUAAUUUGUAUUUAUUUAUUUUCUUUGUAGAACCACACACCUGUACACUUAAAUCCACACCCCUCCGGUCUGUGAAGCAGUUGUAACCUGCUGACUAAAGAGUCAAAACCAUCACCUGGCUUCAUUAUUGGCUCAGGGUCAUCUGGGCGUCUAAUCGGUGCACAUUCUGUGAUCCCCAUUGUCAUUCCGAAAACCAGACGUGCGAACAACAUAAACGACUGAAACUUUCUGCAUAAUCUCUGUUUACAAUCAGCUUUCUGAGCAAGAUGAAGUGUUUGGUGAUACUUAUGUUUUGUCAUGCUAUAUCUGCAGAGUCACACUUCCUGAAGAUUUACUUCACUGGAUCUUCUGGGUUCACAAAUGUUCCUGCAUUUGAAAUUGUUGGAAAAUUCGAUGACAUCGAAGGAGCUUACUGUAACAACAAAAUAGUUGAUUCAAAAAUAGACUUUGUGAAGAAAUUAUUUAGUGAUGACCCAAAACUAUUUGAGUUUAUAAAAAGUAGUUGCUUUCUCACUAAUCCUGCCUUCUUAAGACAUAUGAUCGCUGAGCUUAUGAAGAAAUUCAAUCAAAGUGAAGGUAUCCACACUUUCCAGAGGAUAGGUGGCUGUGAACUGAACAUGGAAACUAUAGAGGUUACUGGCUUUUUGAAGUACGGUUAUGAUGGAGAAGACUUUCUUGAAUUUGAUUUAAAGGGACUGAAAUGGAUUGCACUGAGAAAAGAGGCUCUUUUUCUCAAACAGCUUUGGGAAAUGGAUAGACAAAAUCUCAUUUAUAACAGAGAUCUCCUCACAAAUCGAUGCUAUCAGGCUCUUAAUUACUCCUUGGUCGCUGGACACAACUAUUUGUUUAGAACAGAUUACCCCUCAGUUUCUCUCCUUCAGAAGACUCCCUCCUCUCCAGUCAGGUGUCACGCUACUGGUUUCUACCCAAAGAGUUUCCUGAUGUUCUGGAGGAAGGAUGGAGAGGAGAUUCAUGAGGGUGUGGACCCUGGAGAUAUCCUCAACAAUGAGGAUAGUACAUUCCAGUAUCGUGUUGAUCUGGAUAUUUCUUCAAUCCCACCUGAGGACUGGGCGAGGUACGACUGUGUGUUUCAGUUUACUGGAGCUGAGGACAAAAUCCUGAUCAAGCUGGAUAAAGAAGUAAUCAAGACCAACAGGGAUCAAUCAUCUGAGAUAAGGAUUAUCAUUAUUGUUGUCAUUUCUGCUGUGAUAACCAUCAUCAUCAUUGCUUUAGCAUUUACUGCCUACAAGAAGAGAAAUGGUAAGAGCAUCUUAAAGCUGGACUUGUCCUCAAACUUAAUCAAGUACAAACUGAAGAAGACAGCAAAAAAUUACUCUUAAGUUGAAUGUAACAUUAAAUAGGAAAACAUAAAAAUAUAGAUAUUUUCUCUUUUAAAGUUGUGUUAUAUGUUUGCAUUUUGAAACCCAAAUUAUCUGUGUUAGUUUCAGAAAGACCGCUCAUCCCUGAUUCUGAAAACAUGCCUCUGAGAAACUGACAUGAGAAUCAAGAUGGAGAAAUGCAGCAUCCUGCUCUGACUUUGGUUUCCUAAUGGGAUUGUGGGAAUUUAAGCCUAUAUGAAAUCAAAAAGAAUAAGUUAGGCUUUAUCAAAGUAAUACCUGUCAUUCAUUUAAUUUGUACAAAUAAAAUCCCUCUAAGGAUGAAUUCAUACCUA
Xiphophorus maculatus (southern platyfish) is the source of this 2585-nucleotide RNA transcript. It is a transcript of the gene named major histocompatibility complex class I-related gene protein-like, with no coding region annotated. The transcript is spliced from 6 exons. The record is from RefSeq and is a predicted model, not a curated record. Lineage: Eukaryota; Metazoa; Chordata; Actinopteri; Cyprinodontiformes; Poeciliidae.